RNAcentral lists this unclassified non-coding RNA (364 nucleotides) under uncultured bacterium. RNAcentral's name for it is "contains 16S-23S intergenic spacer region". The record is from RNAcentral.
UCCCGAUUGGCUCGGGCAGUCUCGCCUGAAAAAUACAACAGACGAAAAGGGUUGCGCUCGUUGCGGGACUUAACCCAACAUCUCACGACACGAGCUGACGACGGCCAUGCAGCACCUGUCACUUGGUUCCUUGCGGCACUCCCCUGUUUCCAGGGGAUUCCAAGGAUGUCAAGCCUCGGUAAGGUUCUUCGCGUAUCAUCGAAUUAAACCACAUGAUCCACUGCUUGUGCGGGUCCCCGUCAAUUCCUUUGAGUUUUAGCCUUGCGGCCGUACUUCCCAGGCGGAGUGCUUAACGCGUUAGCUACUCAGCACAGAGGGUCGAUACUCCAUACUAACAGCACUCAUCGUUUACGGCGUGGACUAC